AGUUGACAAAGCAAGCAUUGAUGGAGUUGGCUCUCAACGAGCAGCUGAGGGAGAAACAAGAAAUGGAGAAAAAACUGCUGAAGUUGAGCAAGCAAAUGGAUUAUCUUGAGAGAGCUAAGAGAGAGGAGGCAGCUCCAUUAAUUGAAUCUGCAUAUCAACAACGCUUGGUUGAGGAACAGCUUCUGCAUGAGCGAUGAGCGUGAGCAACAGGAAAUUCCAAGGAAAUUUGUGAGUGUUUAUGGGAAAAAUCUGUGGAAAGUGAUAUAUGUAGACGAUCCAAGCGGUAAGAUAUGGGAAUUUGAAUUAGUAAGAGCAAAUGACAAGUAUUUGGUGCAAAAGGGCUGGCCGGAAUUCGUUGAGUACUACUCGUUGUCUCAUGGGGACUGCAUUAUGUUCAAAUUCAAAGGGAAUCACCGAUUCGACGUCGUCAUUUUCAAUCAAACUCAAACAGAGACAUGAAGACGGAUAGCUCUUGUCCAUCCUUGGCGAUUAAAAUGGUAAAUGGAGCCGACCUUUCUCAAUCACGAGUUUACUGCUGGCGUGAUUAUACCUAGUGAAUUUGCAAAGACAUACUUGGACAAGUCACCUUGCACGCUCAAGCUUCUAACUGACAAAACUUGGGAAGUGAGCUUUACCGGUGGACGGUGGUGGUAGUAGACAUGCCAAGUUGAAAGUCGGUGAUAUAUGCAUGUUUGAGUUGAUCGCCUGUCAAGAGCUUAAGGUUUGCAUAAUUCGUGCGAGUUCAAGGGAUCCUAGAAAAACCCAUCAAGCCAUCCAAAGUGCCAGCCAAAGCGUGUGCGAGUACUCAACCAGAAGACAUUGAUUCAUGGCCGAAACAGCCAAGGCCAGGAAGGCCGCCGACGAGGGAUCACAGAGAUGCAGCUGAAGCUUAUACAAGUGCUUUUGCUGGAAAUCCAUCGUUUUCAAUCCCUAUCACUUCUGGUUACAUGAAAUACAACAUACUCGUAUAAUCUUAUCUUAUCUUAUCUUAUCUUUAGUUGUUUUUUUAAACUUAUGUUACGUUACACUUCCUCCGAUUUUUAAUACUCGCAACGUUUGUAAUUUCUACACUAUUCACAUACUCCCUCCGUCCCUUAAUACUCGCACCGGUUUGAUCCAUGCGGAGUUUUAGACACUUAAUUGACUUAUUAAUUUAAUAGGUGUUAGUUGAUAGUGAAGUUUUUUAAAUAUAGUUAGUGGGAAAUGUGUAAGGGAUGAGGAGUGGGAAUGUGAAUUCAUUUUUAAAUGAUUUGUUUGUAGGGAGUAGGGGUGUAGGUGGGUUAGUAGCUACGUAAGUGUGAGAAAUAAUAUAAUAUUGGUAAAUGUUUCCAUUUAUAGAAGCUGUGCAAGUAUUAAGAGACGGUCCGAAAAGAAAAGCGGUGUGAGUAUUAAGGGAUGGAGGGAGUAGUAUACUUAGACCAUUGUUGGUGAUUUAUACGUAUUAUAAAACAUAUAUAGUCAUGUGAGAUCUUGUUAGAUUCGUCUUAAUGUGUAUUUUCAAAAUAUUAACUUUUUAUAAUUUUUGCUUAAAGGGAAUUAAAGAUAAUAAUGAUCAAAAUUGUGCAUUGACAUGCGUGAAAGUGACAAACGUUGCGAUGACAAAUGAACGGAGAAAGUAUGAAUUUAUUUUAGUUAUAAAAUGUAAUUAACUGGAUAACUUGUUUGUUUUUGUAGAACAUACCACUCCGUUGGGUGGAUACGUACAUGAGAGGAAGUUAUAAGCGUAAUAUAACGCUAAAGGGGGGGAAGAAAAGCUUGAAUACCAAGUUGAUUAUAUACCGCCACAUUACAGGAUCUCAUUGCAAGUUAACAGGAGGGAUUUCAAAGUUCUUUCAUGAUAACGCCAUCAUACAAGGAGACGUAUGUGUGUUCGAGCUCGUCAACAAUGUUCCAAAUACCUUGAAAGUCUUGGUAUUUCGCUAAUGCUACCAUUAAUUAACCCAUUACAAUUUACAAAUGCCGAGCUAAUCGCAUCAUGAAAUAUAUACUUGGUGCUUAUGUUAUUCAGCCUUUAAUUUAGUUAGAUUUGAUGUUGUAAUCGAAUUAACUUGUUGGAAUUUGGUAGCUUUGUUCUCUGUCUAUUUCUAAUUGUCAGUUCUUUAGACGGUCUUGAAUGUUUCAACCGGAGGCCGGCUUUUUGGAACUGAUUGGCUAAGUCGUUUACUCCUAAUUUCGUGUCUCUUAUCACUAUACAGUAUUUUCUGUAAUGUGUGAAAGACUUGCCUAAAGCCGAGCCAAUCGCAUCGUGUUGUUGACAUCAGGGGCGGUGCUAGUAAGGGUUCAGUGGGUUCAACUGAACCCUUACUAGCUAAACAAAAAAACUGGCAGAUUUUACAAAAUAAAAAAAAAGUCAAGUAAUAGUAAACCCAGUUUAUGACAUAAUCAAAAGAGGUGUUGUAGUGGUUUUUGAUUUACUAACCAAACUAAAGGUCAGGGGAUUGAAUCCCAUUCCUGUUUUUUCCGUCUUUCCCUCCUCUCUUUUUUAUUUGGUUUCCUAAAACAUUAUAUAUUUUUUUAUACUAAUUCCUAUAUAAAGUUGCUUUUAAAAUAAGAAAAUUUGCUAAAUGCAACUAUAGCAUCUUUUCUUCCCAUUUUUUGCGUUCUAAUUGUAUUUUAGACUAUAAAUUGUGUUGUUAAAUUUUUAAUGUAUCUUAUGUACGGUAUCAAAAGUACUGUUCAAUAUUUUAUAUAAAAAGAUGGCUUGAGUUUGAAUUUCGAACCCUUAGUACGAAUUUUCUGGCAUCGCCACUUGUUGUCCAUCGUGAAAUACUUGGUGCUUACGUUGUUCAGCAACUUGUGAAAAACUGUGUGUGUAACUUUUGGUGUAUAAUUUGCUAGAUUGUAUUUGAUGCGUAACACGAAAUUGUUACCCCGAGCAUCUAUUUUUCUCACAUGCUCAUACAUUCAAAUACUCCUACCUAUCACAUUUGCUUUAAAUAGUUAAAUUAAAAUAGUUUUAGGAUAAUGACUUGAAUUUAUUAAAAUAAUAUGUUCCUCUCUCUCUCCCUUUUUCUCUCUUCUCUUUUAUCCUUUUGGGUUUUAUUUUUUUUGCCGUUUAGGCCGAAAAUUGUCUAAUUCCGACCCUUAUUCUUGUUUUUUCAUUGUUUUCUCUUUAUGUAUUGUCUUGUUUUGUUUUUUCUGUUGGGGGUGCUCUUCAGUACCUCACUUUGACUCGCCAGAAUCUGUGUUGUAUAUUUGAAAGAGGUUGACCUCCUUGCUUUUUGAUUUGUUCCCAAUUUAUUCUUGGGUUGGUCCCAAUUUAUUUGGAUUUUUCCUAGAGUUUUCUAGUUUCUUGAUUCUCAUCCAUGGAUGAGAAUUUUUUUUAGGGUUUCAAUAAUUGGGAAGGAGAUUUGGAUUCAUACAGGUUUAGGGUUUAUCAUCAACUCGUCAAUCAGAACAAUUCGUGCGCAUAUUGCGAAGGGCUCUACUUGGAAAGAUGCGAAAACAUCGAAAAUCACUGCUCGCGUUAAGCUAGAAGCGGUGGAGUACGAGAUGUGCUUUAGGAUGCAGAAUAAUAAUUGUUUUGAUUGUAACAGUUAUGUAUUUUCUUUGAAUUAAUGAAAUUGUUCUUCUCCGUCAAAAAAAAAAUUAUUAAAAUAAGAUGAAAGUGAGGUAAUGAGUGAAUUAUUUAUUAUAUGUGAUUAAAUGUUGGGACCACAAAAAAGAGAGAAAUAUUAAUACUAGAUUUAAAGCCCGUGCGAUGCACGGUUUUUUUUCAAAUUUCUUUUUUGAGAUUUUUUUUUCAACUUUAAGCGAUAAUAAACCCAGAUGAAUGUAUAUGAGAAUUAAAUACGUGUAGUCUUUUAAUCCCAAUACUUAACUUAUCGUAGGAUCGAUUUGAUAACAUUUGUAAGUUUUUUUUUAUAGUUAAAAUUAGAUGCACUCGACUGCAUAAUUGUGUUUAUGACAUUUGAGCCUUCUAAAAUGCUCUCCAAUAUUUGGGGUUGCUUGCAUAAGGCAACUUUAAGGUCGAUGCAAUGAUUCUAUUAAAAGAAACAAAAAAUAUUGAUGAUGUUCAGGUUUACGUUCUAUGUUCUUGUCCAUAACCGCUUUAUGUUAAACGGAGUAAUUGAAGAUGGAAAUAUGCAGUGCCUCCAAAUCCCAGAAUUGAACUGAGAGAGUUAAUCUACUUAACUACCACGCCGGCGAUUGCACCCCAACUGUUCGACAAAAUGCCGAGACGAACUUUUAUCACCUGCAAAACCCAUGUUUACUGGGCACACCAGUCCCCAAAUCAGGAUAAUGAUGGUAGCUCAACUAUGAUCUAGCAGAACACAAGAGUUAUUUUGUGUGUCUACAUCAACAUCAAGAUUAGCAAGCAUUAACCGUUAAGGUGCAACCAGGGGCGUACAGGAUGUGACUACUUUGAUACCUAUCACAGGUACAAAUCACUCUUUCAUAUCUCUUGUCUUCCAUUAGUUUGUUGUUAUGCAAUUGUGAUCUAUAUAUGCAAUGUGGAAUAAACAGAUUACAUCAUUUACAUGUGUAUGUAGAAAUCUAUUUGUUGUUGCUCUUCGUGUCACUGUCAUCUUCAUAUUCAGUUGCUAGUCUAUUGACUUGUUUGGGUUUCUCUUUAUCCUCCUCUAAAUCCCAUUUGUUUGUGUCUUCCUCUAUUCCUCUUUCUUUAUAUUUCCAGUAAACCAUCAGUUGGAAGAUGCCCAAGAUAAUUCCAACCAAGUUAGGUGACUGCCAAACGGUCAAGAUUCAAGUUAGAAGAACCAAAAUGCAUUUUACAAAAUAUGUAAAAAUACUAAAGGUUCAUGAUAUACUUUUGGUAAAUAUAAGUUCCUAUGGGGAAAAAAUAAUGAACUGAAAAAGACGAGAGAGUGGCAAGUGAGAUCAGGGGAGUUCACAAACCGUGAUGAAAAAAUCAUGGCUCAGUAGUCCAUAGCAUCCCCAGAAGCAACUAGAAAGGAGAGUGAAGAAUGACAGAUAAAAUGGCAUGAAUUCCACGCUUUUGGUUGCUAUCACUUGCUUCUGCGGUAAUAUAUCCAGGUAAGAUGUUAAUUCCUUGCCAAAAGGUCCCAAGAUUUGUUAUUUUCUGAGAAGUGCAUGUCAAUGAUUGAUAGGUAAACACGACAGAUUUUGGGGCUUUACUAACAUGAGAAUGUAUGUCAAAAUAUGAUAGAUUUUAGAUUACAUGAUAUUUUGCUACCAUGCAAUCAUGUAGUGCUUUAACUGAUAAGCAUGUCUGUUAAGAACCUGUGAUAAUUUAAGAGAGCAUGAUGGGUUAUGAAGACUCACCACAGCAACAAGAGGGGCACCAUAUAGUGCUAUCGAAGUUACCAGCCCUACACUUCCAACAAAUAUUUUCCUUUUAUGAUGGUCAUGCAACAGUAAGGCAGAGAUUAGUGCUGUGGCUACGAAUAGUGCAAGAAAAGUCAUUGUUAAUGCUGCAACUUUCACCUGCAUCAUGUCAUGGAAUUAUUAUCACAAACUCUGUGCAUGACCAUCUUCACUGACUUGUUUUUGAAUGAUAAACAAAAAAAAUUCUGGCUCCUAGAAGUAUCAAAAGAUACCAAGGAUGUUUGAAAUGACUGACCUUUUCCCUUGUUGAAGUUAAGGAAAGAUAGACGAGGACAAAACAGGAUUCCAGUAGGACACCUAGGCCAUUGACGGUGGUGAGGGAGACAUUUUCCCAUCCUUUGCUUACAAUAGGUAAGCCGUACCAAGUGUAAAGGAGAGCGUUGAGUAGAGCAACAAUGUAUGGGACAUAUGAAAACCCUUGAGUGCUCUUCUUCUUUAUGAUUGUUGAAAAUGUUAAUCUGGGAAAACAUUGAAUUUUGAAGUUAUUUGAGAAUUUUGAUAGCUUCUAAUCUUGGACUAAAAGAAUGAGAAAAAAUAUAGGUUGAUGAAACAAUUGGGUGGAGUUUCACAGUACAUGGGUGAUGCAUAAAGUAACGCAGAAGCCAAGUUUCCUGCAAAAGAAAAUAUAUAAGGUUAAACUUUUUUAGCUACUCAUUUAGUUAACAGGGGUUUGAGAAUAGGGAUGUACCCAAAACUCCAACAGCUAUCCGCAGUUUAUCCCCCAUGUUAUCACCCUAACGAUCCUGGGGGUAAUGGCUGUGUGAUAGUACGCUCAACAAAUAUUUAUUGUUAAUGCAGCAUGAUCUGUUUGGCAGCCUUUGAUUGAUAUAAAUAGCCAAAGAUUGUGCUAAAGUUGUACGAUAUAAAAAUAUUGGGAGCAUAAACUUCCUUUUUCAAAAAUUAUUCUGGUCAUAAUACUUUAGUAUGGUAGAAAAGGAAGAUGGUAAUGGUGGUGGAGCAACAUGUAAUGAACUGUUAUGUUCUGAUUCUGAGUAAAAAACAUACAUGGCUAAUAAUAUUGUUCAUAUAUUUGAGUUUCCUUUACUAGAAUUCCCCCUUUUUACUGUCAAUGGAAAUUCAUAUUUUCUCGUGCUCUUCUCGUAGCACUUUGGAACUAGCUGUGAGUGUGAAAAUUAUAGUAUAAUAUGUUUAGAAGAAAAGUGAUUACAAAUUUGGGCAGUAAGAUGAUUGCAGGUGCCUUACAAGAAACUAGUGUGUGGUGAAUUGCGAUCUUUUAGCAACCAAACCAGUUUUAGCAGUUAAGGUGUAGUUGGAGAAAUGACCUAAACCAUUGUGGAAAGUGGAAUCAAUGGUAAUUGGGUUUGACAGGGGCGGCCAAUCUGACUUGACAGUAGGCUAAACUUCUUUGAAGAAAUGGUUAUGUCAGACUAUCUGUCAGAGUAAACACUGGGAAGAAAAUGGACUUUCUGUAAAAGCAGACAGAAAUAACAAAUCCUGACGUGAUAAUGGGUGUGGAAUCCUGCAACAGCAAGUAAAAGCUUUGUGUCUACAACUUUGAAUCCACAUUUUAAUUUUGUCGGAUUCAUUUGCGAAACUCGGAGCUUGGUGAAAUGGUUAAAUACACCGUACAUAGUACACAACAAAGUGGGAUCGCGAUAAGGGUUUUGGUUCGUUUACUAGAGACUUCACUUGGUGUUUAAGUACAAUAUCUUCUGUUAUGAUGAGUGGAAAGCUGAACUCCACCAUUUCCAGGUGAAUGGAAACCACAUUGACAGUUUACUCUGUUGUUUCUUUCUUUCUUUAUUUCUGAUGCCACUUUUUUUGUAAUCUGAUCUUUCUUUUUUCCCUCAAUCCUGUAAUUGUUCUUUUGUAGGACAAAGUGCAUAUAUACUCCAAAUAAGUGGUGAUUAUUAAACGCCAUCAUGAUCUUAGUGUUAAUGGUAUUUUGGUAUAAUAUUUCAGGAUCUUUUUAUUUUAGAUUCAGGAUUUUGUUGUUGUGCUGCAGUGUAGAAUUAUAAACUACAGUGUCUGCACCAAUACAAACUUUUAGAAAAGACGGUCUUACCGGAAAGACCGCCUUGUUGUCAUCUAAGAGACCACCUUUGAAAACGUGGAUGCUGACGUCAGCCUUACUUUCCAAAUAAUUCGAAAAAUAUAUAUAGUAUUUUCUCAUUUAUUUUUCAUUUCCAUUUCUCUCUCCUCACAUCUCUGUAGUUUUUUCUCUCUCCUCAACCUCUCUCAAAGAUUCAAACCCUAAUUUCAUGGCGAUCUUUCUUCCUCCUCAACAUCGCAAGUUCCAUCGCAACAUCGCAGGAUCGCUCUUCCUCAGAACAUGAUGGCGAUCUCUCUCAUUGCGACCGGCCACCGCAAGAUCCACCGCGGCCAUUCUGAUUGUCAUCUCGCCGCCGCUGCUUAUCGAGAUUCGAGAAUCGCCGCUGCCUCUUGAGCGGGGAAGGUGGCGGUUGAGGCUACAACGAAGGCCGCUUAAUGGAUGAGACACCGUCAUUUAACGUGUCGGAGAACUGGCCGGUUCCGAUGAAUGGCGCAGCUGCGGCGAAUGUUUUUUUAUCUUUCAAUAUCGAUUUCACUUGCUAUUUAAACUGGUGAGCCAAAGGACGGGGAAGAGCCUCGUUGUCGACGACGGAGUCUCCGUCUCAAGCACUGCAGGAAACAUAACGUCCACAACGUCCACAGGCACAGGCACAGGCACACCACUCACCACCACAUGCUGCAGGAACAAAGCUGUAGAAGCAACGAUUGUUGUUGGUCGAUAUUGUUGUUCUCCUGCGACUUUAAAGGGAUGUCUCUUCGAUGCCUUCACAGAGGCAAAGUUCAGAAUGGCCGCCCGGGUUGCUCUGCCUCUUUGUUAAUCUCCGACUACUUUUAGGGUUUAGUUAAUGAUCUUAUGUAAUAAUUUUAGUUAAUUUCGUAUUAGUUAUGUUGAACUUUGUUUUAGUUAAGAAAAAAUCCAUUUUAGUUAAGAAAUAAAAUUGUUUAGUUACAUUUUUGUAUUUAUGUCGAUUUUUAUUUUAGUUAUGAUUUUGUUAUAUUUAGUUAAGGAUAAAUUUGUUUUAUUUAAGAAUUAUUUUGUUUUAGUUGAGAUUUUUAUUUUUAUUUAAUAUUUUCCGAGUUUUAGUUAA
This is a long non-coding RNA of Spinacia oleracea (spinach), 8408 nucleotides long. RefSeq lists it as uncharacterized. NCBI's taxonomy places the organism in Eukaryota, Viridiplantae, Streptophyta, Magnoliopsida, Caryophyllales, Amaranthaceae. The record is from RefSeq and is a predicted model, not a curated record. The transcript is spliced from 9 exons.